This is a long non-coding RNA of Diabrotica virgifera virgifera (western corn rootworm), 853 nucleotides long. RefSeq lists it as uncharacterized. The record is from RefSeq and is a predicted model, not a curated record. The transcript has 5 exons. Lineage: Eukaryota; Metazoa; Arthropoda; Insecta; Coleoptera; Chrysomelidae.
ACAUAGGACCAAAAAAAAAAAUAGAUCUGAAGUUGACAGGACACCUGGUUGUGCAUUGCCUUGAGCAAGACGCGCAUAACCAAUAACAUGUACUGGGUACUCUCUUUCCUUGUCUAAGGGGUAAAUGAUUAAAAAAAAAUCGAAACCCAAAAAAAAGGAAGAAGAAGAAUAACUACAUAAUUUAUAAAAUUAAAAAAUAUAUUAAAAAUGAGCAAUACCAACGGAAAUCCUCCACGCAAAAAUUAUACUGAGAGAGAGAAAUGUUUGCUGUUGGAAAUAAUUGGAAAAUACAAGCAUAUUAUAAUUGAAAACAAAUAAUGUACCAAUGCUAUGUCCACCAACCAAAACAAUGAAACCUGGGAAAAAAUAGCACUGGAAUUUAAGGCCAGCGCUGAAUUUCCCAGAACUCCCAAGCAGCUGAACACUGAAAAGUAGCAAUGGAAAAUAUUCAAAAAUAUAAUGAGCAGAAGGUUUUGGACCAGUUGAAGAGAGACCAAACUGCGGACAAAAAAGACAUACUUGCACUCUGGUGGUGGCACAUUUAGGCCUCGUCUCACAGAUGUAGGGGCACAAAUGUUGGGUUUGAUUGGCAAUCAAAUCCAAUCUUUACCCAACAGUUGUUACAGUGCAUCUGGUUUCUUCACAUCUGUUGCACAAGAUAGUCAAGUGGAAGUAGAUUACCUACAAUUGGAAGACACAUAGCAGAUGUCCAAUGUACCCUCUACUUCCACUGUGCUGCUCAGUACACCCACAACAACUGCUGUCCUGCCCAAGAAGACAGCCAAGAUGUCUCAGGCUCGUUCAAAAAAUAAAAAAUUAAAAGAUGUAGGGAGCGAAACUCUUAGGGCCGGUU